GGCAGGGCAAGGGCUGGGGCUCCUGAGCCCUCAGCAGAGGACAAGCAGGAGCUCUGCUGGGGCCACAGCGAGGGACAGGCCCACUGGAGGCUUUUGGCUCGCCCAGGCAAUCCUGCUUGGUUCCUUUCUUACCCCUGACGACUCCAGCUGGCCCAGGCCCGAGGGAAGCUGACUCCCUGUCCACAGAUCUGACCGUGCUCCUUGGGGGCAUGGGCCAUAAGGGCAGGGAAUACCUUCCUGGCUUCACUCAGCCUGGUGCCUGCAGCAGUACCCACAAUAGCAAGCACUCUUCCAAGGGGAAGCCGAGCCCAACAUGCAGUCCCCCAAAUGCACCCGCACAGACAUAUGGCAGGGAACAGACACACAGACUGAAGGGAGCUGUGGACCAAGGGGAAGGGUAACCCAGAAAUAGGAAAUGAAGGAAGGAUUUCCCUUCAGUCAAACUCAGCAGCAGCAGGGAGGUCUGACUGAGCCCCUGAUGAGGCAAAGGAAACAGCUAAAAAUGGAGCAUUUGCUCACUGCCAGCGGCUGACAGGUUUGGUUCUGCCCCUGAGCUGCCAGCAGCCUGAAGAACCCAUUGUAACGGGUCUUUGGACCUUAGUGCGACAAAGAAAGCAUUAGCCUCUGCAGCAGCCUGCAACUGAAUGAGGAGCAACAGACACUAAUGAAAAAUUGGCACGACCUACCAAAUGCCAAAUAUGCUGUAGAGCCCCAUCCUGGGCAUAUGCUUCACGUUUCGUGGAUUAAAUGUCAGUGUAAUCUGAAACCCUCUGAUAGCCAGCAUUUUGAAGGUUUGCAGCAGUUCCCAACCCCUUUCAUUCUGUGGAUUAUUCUUGAGACAGACAGAGCGAGCCCCUUCCACAGACCUACCUCCCCUCCCAAUACAUUCAGUCCCCUCCCCCAGUCUCACAAAACGUUCUCCAAAUCUUGCAUCCUGCAGACCACAAGGAAGGGCCCAGCGAUCCAGAGAUCUGCUGUGACCUAUCGCUGAGAGAAAUUUGAGUGAGCCAGUAAUUAUUGUCAAAUGGAGAAAGGCAGCUGCUAUUCAAAAGUCAGCAUUUGUCAACAGUUACCACACAGAUUAUUGUGGCUCUUCCUCACAGUUAGCAGGGUCACAGAUGUUCUUGGAGCACUAACCUGACUGUAAUUUACCACUCAGCUCCCUUGCCAGAGCACUGCUGGUGCCUGAAGUACACUGAGUCUCCUUCCACAUCACACAGCCAUAGCUAGUCCUCGCUCUAUUUCUGCAUCCUCUAUCCCAGUCAUUUUGCUCCCUGUGAGCUCCAGUAACCUUUUCUACACCACAGCCUCUCUUCUUCCCUGCACCCCUGUAAUUCAUUCCUCAGUGCUCACCUCUUCUACAAUGUACCUGCUGUAUACAGCCCGCGUAACACGUUCAGGAUUCCCACUUCUUUUCAAUCCAUCUCUUGGCAGUUGCUGUGUUGAGACCUGCAUGGAUGAGUGCUGGCUAACCAAUGUCA
Molecule: long non-coding RNA, 1481 nt
Organism: Gavialis gangeticus (Gharial)
Lineage: Eukaryota; Metazoa; Chordata; Crocodylia; Gavialidae
Exons: 3
Source: RefSeq, a predicted model, not a curated record